Molecule: ribosomal RNA, 255 nt
Filed under: uncultured bacterium
Lineage: Bacteria
Description: partial 16S ribosomal RNA
Rfam family: Bacterial small subunit ribosomal RNA
Source: RNAcentral
GACGAACCGUGCGAACGUUAUUCGGAAUCAUUGGGCUUAAAGGGCGCGUAGGCGGCGAUAUAAGUUGGACGUGAAAUCCCAUCGGCUCAACCGUGGAAUAGCUCCCAGUACUGUAUCGCUCGAGGGGGAUAGGGGUCUGCGGAACUACCGGUGGAGCGGUGAAAUGUGUUGAUAUCGGUGGGAACGCCAGUGGCGAAAGCGGCAGACUUGACCCUUCCUGACGCCGAGUGCGCGAAAGCUAGGGGAGCAAACGGG